This 85-nucleotide transfer RNA is filed under the name Clostridia bacterium. RNAcentral describes it as "tRNA-Leu". It matches the Rfam family "tRNA". Rfam says of the family: Transfer RNA (tRNA) molecules are approximately 80 nucleotides in length. Their secondary structure includes four short double-helical elements and three loops (D, anti-codon, and T loops). The record is from RNAcentral. Lineage: Bacteria; Bacillati; Bacillota; Clostridia.
GCGGGUAUGGUGAAACUGGCAAACACGCCGGAUUUAGGAUCCGGUGGAGCAAUCCUUGCAGGUUCAAGUCCUGUUACCCGCACCA